RNAcentral lists this long non-coding RNA (461 nucleotides) under Coccomyxa subellipsoidea. Its description in RNAcentral is "long non-coding RNA (CSUB_LNC000389)". The record is from RNAcentral. Lineage: Eukaryota; Viridiplantae; Chlorophyta; Trebouxiophyceae; Coccomyxaceae.
AUCGACCAGCGGGAACAAAUUUGUGGCCAGCGUGAAGCAGCUGAACAUUGGUGCGGUGCCCAAUCGUGGUGGGAUUCCAAGCAAUCGUCUGCCUAGCCAUGGCCCGCCUGGAAGCUCCGCGCCUGGAAGGGAGUUCCACAAGAAAUGUAGGCUAAAAUGAAAAGAGACAAGAGAGGUGAAAAGUACAAUUGAGAUAACACAUCAUACGAGCUCAGCUAGGCUAGGCUACAACCUUCUGUAGCACGCGUUUGGCAAUGGAAUAGAAAACAACACCCUCAGGAACACGCAUGCAGGAAUCUAACAGGUUUCAAACAAGUCGUGAACUUCCCUUUAAAUGUGGCACCCUCCUUGUGACAUGCAUGUUGUGAUUCAACAUGUCAUGACUUAUCAGUACUCCUGGCUGAAUGAAGCCCAGAGGACAAGCCGAUGAGCUGUCCAGUAGUUGCCUGCCUGCAGUGCAG